GAUUGAUUGGACAUGAGGGGUGAAGGAGAGGUUGGAGUCAAAGAGGAGCGAGCCUUAGCGGUAGAGCGGAUGGUAGCGCCAUUGACUUGGAGGGACACAGACUAGGGAGUAGCAACACUUGAGGGAGGGAAGACCAGAAGUUCUAUUUUGCACAAGUUCAGUUAAAGGAAAUGAGCAGCCAUCUAGUUGGAAAUAGCAGAGAGGCAUUCAAAGACACGAGUCAAGAGGGGUGGUGAGAAAUCAGGGCAGGACAGAUUUGUGUGUCAUCCACAUAGAUAUGAUACUGGAAGCCAAAGGAGUUGAUGAGUUUACGAAGGGAAGCAGUGUAGAUUUAGAUCAAUUGGGGACCAAGGACAGACCCAUGGGGAACACCAACAGUGAGGGAUUGGAGUAAAGUAGAGGCAGAGCCAGAGAAAGAAACACUGAAUGAGCGCUGGGAGAGUACCAGGAGAGAGUGGUAUCUCGUAGACCGAGAUUAUGGAGGAUGAGAAGAAGCUGUUGAUGAUCAACAGUGCCAAAAGCAGCAGAAAGGUUGAGAAUUAGGUAGUGGCCAUGGGAUUUUGCAGUGAUAAGAUCAUUGGAUACUUUGGGAACAGCUGUUUCAACAGAGUGACGAUCGCGGAAUCCAGAUUGAAGCGGCUCAAGCAGAGAUUCUGGACUCAAGGAAGUUUGUCAAUCUCACAUACACAACUUGGUCAAGCAUCUUGGAAACAAAUGGCAGUAGUGAGAAAGGGCGGUCGUUUAACU
Molecule: non-coding RNA, 747 nt
Organism: Pelobates cultripes (western spadefoot toad)
Lineage: Eukaryota; Metazoa; Chordata; Amphibia; Anura; Pelobatidae
Source: the annotation of a GenBank genome assembly